This 497-nucleotide ribosomal RNA is filed under the name uncultured bacterium. RNAcentral describes it as "partial 16S ribosomal RNA". It matches the Rfam family "Bacterial small subunit ribosomal RNA", at positions 28 to 507 of the family's 1533-position model. The record is from RNAcentral.
GAUGAACGCUGGCGGCGUGCCUAAUACAUGCAAGUCGAGCGAACAGACGAGGAGCUUGUUCCUCUGACGUUAGCGGCGGACGGGUGAGUAACACGUGGAUAACCUACCUAUAUGACUGGGAUAAUUUCGGGAAACCGGAGCUAAUACCGGAUAAUAUAUUGAACCGCAUGGUUCAAUAGUGAAAGACGGUUUUGCUGUCACUUAUAGAUGGAUCCGCGCCGCAUUAGCUAGUUGGUAAGGUAACGGCUUACCAAGGCAACGAUGCGUAGCCGAACUGAGAGGGUGAUCGGCCACACUGGAACUGAGACACGGUCCAGACUCCUACGGGAGGCAGCAGUGGGGAAUCUUCCGCAAUGGGCGAAAGCCUGACGGAGCAACGCCGCGUGAGUGAUGAAGGUCUUCGGAUCGUAAAACUCUGUUAUUAGGGAAGAACAAAUGUGUAAGUAACUAUGCACGUCUUGACGGUACCUAAUCAGAAAGCCACGGCUAACUACGUG